UGACUGGGGUGGGGCACAAGAGGACUUUCUGGGGUGACGGAAAUGUUCUUUAUGUUCAUCUGGGUGGAGGUUAUGUGGGUGUAGGCACAGACAAAAACCUACCACCCGUGUACUUAAGAUGUGUGCAUUUCACUCUAUGGAAACCCUACCCCAAUAAGGAAAUAAUAAGAAAGCAGGAGCCAGAGAAUAGCUAGACUACCCCUCCCGAUGCUCUCUUUACAAUAAAUUCCUUGUUUUUCCACAUGGCUUGACCUAGUGUCUGACCCUUGAAGACAAAAGAACUCACUCUCAGGUUGUGAGGACCUGUCAGACUUCUUGCCAGGAACCACCAGGUAACGCUGCCAAAUGGGGCAGAGCGUGUGCAUGUGCAUUGUGUGUGUGUGCAUACGUGCACAUGUAUACGUGUGAGUGUGUGUGUUUCCAUUUUGGCCAGCAAGGUGCUGUUUUGUUUUGUUUUUAAUAGAAACAUCACUUUUUGAUAAGCUAGGGCCACAAUAGACAGCUUCCAGAACAGAAAUAAGGCAGUCCCAAGACAACGGAGUGUAAAAUUGUAGCAGAUAGGUUAAUUACUCUUCACCCGCAUCCUCUCCCUCGGCAUUAUCCACUCCAACCUCCUCAUAAUCCUUCUCAAGGGCAGCCCUGUCCUCACAGCCUCCAUGCCCCGACCCACAUACCAGCCAACAAAGGCAAGCUCGGAAUACAUCAAUUCUAACCUUCAUGAACGUGAAUACCUUUAGGGAAGGCAGGCACCCUGGUCUAUGAGGUCUGUAUCCCUCUCCAUUGUCUGGACUGUGAGGGCAUUUGCCUCAGGGACCAGGACUUGGGGGAUGGAGUGAAAUUGAGGAUCCCUCCCAUUCUCAAGAGAAACUCCGGGGCCUGCUUGCUCCCCCUCAUCCCUGGUGCUGGCCCCUGCCAGCCCUUUGUCUCCACCUGAGCCAUGUGGGUCCCUCUCUCCCUCCCUCUUUCUGAGACCCUUAUGACUCUUCCCCAGUACCCUUUUCUUGGGACUCUAUCUCUGGGCCCUGCAGAUCCUUUCCUGGGAGGUCCAGGGGCAGAAAGGCAGGAUAGGGCACAGGGCUGGCCAUCCCCUUCUCCAUCCCUGUGGUCAUUCCUUUCCAGGAGCUCCCAUCUGGGGCCCCAGCCCUGCCGGCUCCGCGACCCUCACAGAGAUGCCAAGCUGCAGCUGGGCACCUCAUAGCUCAUGCCCUGUACGGGCCCAAGUAGACAGCUGCUGGGAGGGUCUGUCAUCCUGAGGCCAGAGCGCUUUCCUGAUGCUCAUUAUCCAAACUGCAGACCAACAGCUCGGAUCCUGUCAUCCCUGCUGAAAUGGGCUGCAGGAGUGACAGCAUGUGAUGCCCGAGGAUAAGUCAGAGGCUGGCUGAGUAGGGAAAGAGCUGUGUGGCCCGGCAGAUAGGAAAUGACGGGUGCUGUGUCAGAGCCUCAUAAACAAGCAUGACUUCACGCACGUCCCCCUCGUCCCUGCACACACCCCUCUGAGGUCAUGCAGACUCCUCCCGUCCCCAGGGCCUGCUGCACAUAGGCCCUGACGCCAUGGGGCACGCACUUCUGGGGCUGGGCCUAGGGCUUGCGCAAGAACCACAGGCACAUGGGCUGCCCCGGCCCCGCCGCAUGAACCAUGGAGGCACCAGGCACCUCUCUGUUCCAGGCCUUGGCCCGGGUACCAGGGACACAGAAAGUGGCCCUUAGCCCCCAGCUCUCAGGGACUGGUGGGGAACAGGGCCAUGUGACUAUCCCAUCACAAUAGGAUAUGGGGCCAAGUCCAAGGCCCUGAGGACAGCCAGCAGAAAGAUGGAUUUCUUCUGCCCUGGGUCAGAAAAAGCUUCUGGGAGGAGGAAGCUUUGCAAAUGUGUCCUGAUGUAACUUGCCAAAGAAAGCAAAGGAAAAAGACUCCAGGCAGGGAGGCCAGGGAGGGCUGCCCGGAGGAGGGAAGCCAAGUGCAGGGACCAGAGAGGACUGCUGACCCACCAGCCCCUGGUUUCCUGCAUUCUGCCUCCCAGAGCUGCCAAGGGAGCCACACAGAUUCAGAGCAGCCCAGCAGUCCUGGUUUGGGGUGAACUCCAACACCCCCAGAGCAAGGAGAACACAAGGGAUGGCAGACAGGGCUUCCUGAGAUGUCCCCUAUCCCCUCCCGGGGGGCCCUGAGGCCCAGCGGUCCUAGCAGUUACAAAGGCCUGCCUGCGGCAGCAUCCCUGCUCCAUGUGAGUUCUGGCCCGGAACCCCCACCCAGACCCGCAGAGCUCCCCCAGCCAUCCGUAUCUCCCCUCCCCCCAGUCUGUAAUUUCCAAGUGCUCCCACCCACCAGGUGGCAGGUGGCCAACCUCCCUUUGGUCGCCAGGGUUCAGGCGCUGAUGUGGCUUCAGGUUCUGUGCCUGGACCCGAAGGAGAAGGCUGAGCCCCAGCGGUGCAUGCAGCCCCCACUCUGGGCCUCUGCUGUCACCCCUCACCCCACCCCUAGUCCUCCUGUACAUGUCCACAGCUGGCCGGCAGGAAGUGUGCCUUCCCCGUGCAGGACUGGCGACGGACCCUCCUUGGGGCCACAGCUGGGACACGCUGGAGCCAGGGCUAGAGCUCAGAACCCAGCCGGGGGACGCGUCGGUCUGGUGGGGCGUGCCUGGCACUUCUGGGCAGCGUCCCCCGGAGGCCUGUGCCACGAAGUCGGCAGGCCCAGACGCAGCUGUCUGCCCCGGGAAACGAGUAGCUGACCCGCGGCCAACCGGAGAGGGGAAGAAGGCCCUCGUAGGAAGGCGGGGCUGGCGCCCAGCGCCUGUGGGCGGGGCUGCGGGUCACGUGGGGUCAGGACGCAGCCCCCUCCCAGCUUUAAAGAGGAGCUUCUGUCUUCUGACGUUAACAGGCUGGCGAGGAGCUGGAAAUGCUCAGAUGAUCUGUGCGGCUCAGAUCCCACGCAACUGGCACGGGCGUGGGCGGCCCGCGUGCGCGCUAAAUCACGUGACCUUCCACUACCCUGUUGUGCCCAGUUGAUAAACAGAUCCUCCGGAGACUUGCGGUGACUUCCUACAGGGGGCCAAGCCGGGUGGCAACCUGCCACGGCCAGCCAGGCUAUGCGUUCGCCACCAACCCCUGCACCUCUCCCCAGGCUGGCUGCCUCCCUGAAGGCUUGAUGGUGGCCACAACCCAGGCUGGUCCGCGCUGCCGCUGGCCGGGGCUUGGUGCGUGAUGCAGGGAGGACCUUGUCGGAGUCUUGGCCCCAGGGGAGGCUUUCAAAGCUCAGGCUGGGGCCUCGCAACAGUCUGUAGACCUUGGGGAUUGAUUCCUCUGCUGUGCAGAGAACAUGCUGCCGGGGGAGCUGGGGUUCCUCGGCUCAGACGCUACACAUGCAGGCUGAGCUCCAUCAGGCUGUUUUCCCCUCACAGGCUGCCUCAUAGAACCGUUUCAGAGGCUGGCAUGCCGGAGACGGGCCCCACAGCCUGCACCUGUCUCAAGAAGGCUGCCACCAUUACCUUUCCAGGUCCUUCCCAUCUGCUGCUCCCCUGGGGAGCCCAAAGGCCCCCGUGCCGCCCGGCCCAUCUGAGGCAGCCCCCUUGGAGUAAAGGCGCAUCUCUUGCACCUCUUUUCCCUAGAGCUGUUUUUGUGCUUCUGGCUGGAAUCAGGUGAAAUUGCUUGUGACAAUCCUGGAAUUUAGUGGCAGAACCAACACUAGGAUACAGACCUAUCAGGCCUCGGAGUCCUUGCCUUUUUUUUUUUUUUAAGGUUUAUUUGAGAGAGAGAGGAGAGGCAGAGGGAGAAGGAGAGAGAAUCUCAAGCAGACUCCACGCUGAGCAUGGACCCUAACAUGGAGCUCAAGCUCACGACCCUGAGACCAGGACCUGAGCUCAAACCAAGAGUUGGACACUCAACCCACUGAGCCACCCCAAGGACCCGUUGGAGUCCAAGCACCUGUUGGAGUCCUUGCUUUUAAUCAGUGUGCGCCUUCCCUCCUCCACAGUCAUGGGUUCUGAGUCCCUGCCCCGACCUGUCACUUUGUAUCCCUGAGCCAUGGUUUCCUCAUCUGUAAAUAGGUUAGCAAUGCUCACGUGCAAGCUCGUUAUAAGGCUGGGAGGAAAGAAAGAACACAGUAGGUCUGGUUGCCCAUUGUUCAUGUCCGGGAGCCUGGAACCAAGAUUAAUGCUUGGCCAGUUCCUGGGAUUGUGACCCUCAGAAUCUUUUUGCUACUGAUGGAUGACAUUGUGUAUCCCCAGAUCAGUGGGGCAUCGCUGAGAAGUAGCAGCUUCUCAGGACUUGUCAGGAUUGUUUCCUGCAAACAUCAAGAUUGCUGAUACAUCUAGUUUCACCCUUAGGACCCUGAGAUUUGGUUACUAUAGCAGGAUGUGCCUAUGUGACCAGCUGUCUGGAAGACCCUGAGAUCCUGGGACUUGAGUAGGCUUCCCUGGACAGACAUUUCAUGUGUGUCCCUAUAGUUCUCUGAUGCAGAGAACAGUGUGUCCUGUGUGGCCCCUAUGAGGAGGGCAGGGCUUGGGAGUCUGUGCCUGACCUUUCAGGACCUUUCCCGACCUUUCUGGACCUCGCCCAAUACAUAUCUUUUUCCUAUU
Long non-coding RNA from Mirounga angustirostris (Northern elephant seal), 4568 nucleotides. RefSeq lists it as uncharacterized. Lineage: Eukaryota; Metazoa; Chordata; Mammalia; Carnivora; Phocidae. The transcript has 2 exons. The record is from RefSeq and is a predicted model, not a curated record.